Molecule: ribosomal RNA, 407 nt
Filed under: uncultured bacterium
Lineage: Bacteria
Description: bacterial SSU rRNA
Rfam family: Bacterial small subunit ribosomal RNA
Source: RNAcentral
GAGGAAUAUUGGUCAAUGGACGAGAGUCUGAACCAGCCAAAUCGCGUGAAGGAAGACUGCCCUACGGGUUGUAAACUUCUUUUGUACAGGAAUAAAAGACAUUACGUGUAAUGUAUUGCAUGUACUGUACGAAUAAGCAUCGGCUAACUCCGUGCCAGCAGCCGCGGUAAUACGGAGGAUGCGCGCGUUAUCCGGAUUUAUGGGGAUUAAAGGGUGCGCAGGCGGGAUUUUAAGUCAGCGGUGAAAUUUUCAGGCUCAACCUGAACACUGCCGUUGAACCUGGGAUUCUUGAGUAUGGAUGAAGUCGGCGGAAUUCGUUGUGUAGCGGUGACAUGCUUAGAUAUAACGGGGAACUCCGAUUGCGUAUGCAGCUUACUAAGCCAUAACUGACGCUCAAGCACGAAAGC